RNAcentral lists this long non-coding RNA (2748 nucleotides) under Olea europaea subsp. europaea. Lineage: Eukaryota; Viridiplantae; Streptophyta; Magnoliopsida; Lamiales; Oleaceae. The record is from RNAcentral.
CUUAUCCUAGAAUAUAGUUUCCUUCUCUGGAAACUCUGACUAGCAGCGAAGACUCAAGGGACUGCUGUCCUCUGGACUUUGUCUGGUUCGCUUACGUGAAUUCGAUGAUCACUAAUUUUCUGUGAAAUACAGGAAUGAUAUUUCCUUUUAGUUUUUGUUUCUAAUUUCGAUUCUCCAGAUUUUACUCUUCGACAGGUACGCUUCACCCGUUCGUGAAAUCGCAGCGUCUGAUUCUAAAGGGUCUCCAUCAUGGCUCAGAACCCAGGCAAGAAAAAAUUUUGAAAUCCCAAUUUAAGCAUCAGUAUUAUGUGAAGUGUAGAAAAUAAUCAUAUUAAGGUAGAAGAAUGAAGAUAGUGAAUGUUAUUUACAUACUGGCAGAUGUUGAAUUUUAGCGCCCCAUUUUUUGUAAUAUUUGGGGUUGUAAUUGAAUAAUUGAUAUUGAUACAUGAUAAUCAUUUGUCAACAUUACGUUUACAUUCUGAAAAUUGAAUUUUAGAAUCUGAAUUCAUGAAAGUCCGUUCAAAUUGGAACAGGAUCAUUUCUUGAAUGAUUGGGCCUCAAUUCCUCAUUUUCAUACUAUUCUUGGAAGUGUAAUGUGAACUCAUGAUACAAAUUAUUUCAUUUUCUUGGUUGGUGCUAUGUUAACAGUAAAUUUAUUGUGGUAGUCACCAGGAAAGAAAUGGCUUUGAGAAGAUGGGUUCUCUCUGUCUCUAAGUGGUGUCAUUUCUUGUGUAACAUCGAUGUGGUGUGUUCUGGAUGUGUAAUCCAGUGCAUUCUUGUCAAAACACCAUUCAUAUAUGCUCCAGUGGCCGAGACUCCGUUUUUAUUUGCAUCUCGUUCUAUUGAAUAGUACUAUACGUGAUAUACAAUGUGUGAAUGAAGUUCGACUUGCCAGUUGUUUCAAAGCCAUUAGUACUUUUUUUGGUUCACAUUAUCUUUGUUUGUUUGUACCACAGAUAUGGCUCAUGCAAAUUUCUGCAUAUUUCAUUAUUCGAUUUGAAAGAGUUAAUUUAGGAUAAAGAAUACAUACAAACAGGAGAUUUUUCUCAUAUAUCAUAAACUAAGAAUAAUUAAACAAUCUGUUAGAAACACUCACAAGCUGUACUAAAAUAGAAUUUAUGAUUGUCAUGUUUCAAGUCUCCUACACCUUUACUCCAUCCCAGACUUCUCUUUCUUUUUUUUCUUUCCCCUUCUUCAAUUGCUUGAUUUGUUAUACUAAGCAUAGUUGUUGUUUUAUUUUGUCAAGAAACUAAAAUUUGUUUGAAUCUAUGCCACUUUGGGUCUUCAAUAAAUAGAAGUGUUUACUUGAAAUUUGAUACCUUCACCAUUUGUAUUACGUAGAAGAGUUCAUCUUGUUUAUAAGGUCUCACCUUUUAUGUAGAAAGUAAUUAGUGGAACUUACUAAAUUUUUAGAUUUUUGUGGUUACCAAACUAGGUAAUAACUACAAUUUUUCUGCAGCUAAGCAGCGGAAAAUGGCGAUACUGAAUAAGCGUAAUGAAAGACUUGUGGGCGUGUUGCAUGAGACUGAAUCUACAGAAAUUGUAGUUUUGUGCCAUGGUUUUCAAUCUUCGAAGGUUUGUGUGUUCUUUUGGUUUGGUUAUUUUUCCUCAGUCGUCAAAUUCACGACUUCCAUUGACAUAUGUCUUUUUAUUGUAUUAUGAAGUGCCAAUAAAUUUGUGUUUCCACUGAGAAUUGAGUAAGCAAGAUUACCCACGGAUAUUUCUGUAUAUAAUUGAAUUCAUGUUGUAAUUACACUUACCAUAAAUUUGUGUUUCCACGGAGAAUUGACUAAGCAAGAUUACCUACGGAUAUUUCUGUAUAUAAUUGUAUUUUUGUUGUAAUUACACUUACCAUAUUUAGAUUGUACUUAUUCCUAUAUAAUGUAAGGAAUCCCAUGGGAAAAUCAUUCAGCCAAAACUUUGACAUGAAUAUUAGUUUAUUUAAGUGCUUAGAAGGAAAGUCCAGCUUUACUAAUGACUAUAUAACCUGUAGUCAGUUACCACAGAGAAAUUCUAGCCAUGGAUUUUUGUCUAUUACUUUAAUUUCUAAAGCCAUAUUUAGAUUUGAAAAUCUAAAUUUAUAUCAGAAUCCUAGAUGGUUGGAGGCAGAGAAAAACUCGUUUGAAUUGUCCAGCUCAUCUAACCAUCCUGAAUUAAUACUAAAAUGGGUUUUAAGUUCUAAAAAGAAAAUUUUCCAGUAAAAUUUAAGAUCUGCAGUUGCAGUGUGAACAAAAUAACCCUAAAUUUAUGUUGCAUACAAAUUUGAUGAUCAAAACAAGGGCAACCACAAUUGUACAUAAUCUGGAAAAAUUUGAAUAUAGGUGAAUGGUUGCUGGAAAUAUAAACCUACUUCAAUCUCGUGUGAUAGAGAUGAAGUCAUUGAUGUCUCAUGCAAUCGUACUUUAGUUAUUCGUUGAAAUAUGAAUAAAUUUUGGAGAGUUUGUAUUUAUUAUUAAAAAGAAAUUCUACAAAAAGUUUAGAUAGAAUGGCAGUCAGUUAUAAUGAUAGUGCCUAGUGGUGGGAUUCAUCUCUCAUAUUUAAUAUGCAGGAGUUCAACAUCAUGAUCAACAUUGCCAGUGCUCUAGAAAACCAAGGAAUUAGUGCAUUUCGCUUUGAUUUUGCUGGAAAUGGGUAAACUCUAGAGGCUAUUGAUUUAUUCUUCUGUCAACAUAUUAUUACAACACGAAUAGUAAUACUAAUAUUGUAGACAUACGUACAUGCUACUUAUUGCUGUUCUUUACAUUUUAG